Molecule: ribosomal RNA, 773 nt
Filed under: uncultured Neocallimastigales
Lineage: Eukaryota; Fungi; Neocallimastigomycota; Neocallimastigomycetes; Neocallimastigales
Description: partial large subunit ribosomal RNA
Rfam family: Eukaryotic large subunit ribosomal RNA
Source: RNAcentral
UAGUCUCGCACAGAUGCAUAUCAAUAAGCGGAGGAAAAGAAACUAACAAGGAUUCCCUCAGUAACGGCGAGUGAAGCGGGAAGAGCUCAAAUUUGAAAUCUUCAAGGUUUUACCUUGACGAAUUGUAGUUUAAAGAAGUGUUUUCUGUUGAAGUUUUGGUAAAAGUUCUUUGGAAUAGGACAUCAUAGAGGGUGAGAAUCCCGUAUUUGACCAUUAUUUUCAGCUGUGUGAUACACUUUCAAAGAGUCGGAUUGUUUGGGAAUGCAGUCCAAAAUGGGUGGUAAAUUUCAUCUAAAGCUAAAUAUUGGCGAGAGACCGAUAGCGAACAAGUACCGUGAGGGAAAGAUGAAAAGAACUUUGAAAAGAGAGUUAAACAGUACGUGAAAUUGUCAAAAGGGAAGCGUUUGACACCAGUGUUGUUUUCUCGAAAAUCAAUUAAAAAGAGUUAGAUUUUGUUGUGUAUUGACCUUAACAGCUUGCAUUUCAAUUUUCUUGCUUUUUUUAAUGCACUUUUCGUUUAACAAGUCAACAUCAGUUUCUUUUGUUGUAAAAAGGUCAUUGGAAGGUGGCUUUCUUUUCGGAGAAAGUGUUUAUAGCCUUUGACUCCUGCAAUCGGAGAGACUGAGGUCUGCAGCGUAGAUCCUUCGGGGUUAGAUACAUUUGUGCUAAGUUAUAGCUUUUUAUAGACAACUUGUUGACUAUGAUUAGUCUUGUAGCUUACUCGCUUAUGCUAUUUUACCUACGCUUAGGAUGUUGAAGAUGUAGCACAUCAU